Long non-coding RNA from Oncorhynchus tshawytscha (Chinook salmon), 446 nucleotides. Lineage: Eukaryota; Metazoa; Chordata; Actinopteri; Salmoniformes; Salmonidae. The record is from Ensembl.
GUGUUCUGGUUUAACCCUUCACCCCUCAGGGUGUUCUGGUUUAACCCUUCACCCCUCAGGGUGUUCUGGUUUAACCCUUCACCCCUCAGGGUGUUCUGGUUUAACCCUUCACCCCUCAGGGUGUUCUGGUUUAACCCUUCACCCCUCAGGGUGUUCUGGUUUAACCCUUCACCCCUCAGGGUGUUCUGGUUUAACCCUUCACCCCUCAGGGUGUUCUGGUUUAACCCUUCAUCCCUCAGGGUGUUCCGUUCAGCCCUUCACCCCUCAGGGUAUUCUGGUUUAACCCUUCACCCCUCAGGGUGUUCCGUUCAGCCCUUCACCCCUCAGGGUAUUCUUGUUUAACCCUUCACCCCUCAAGGUAUUCUGGUUUAACCCUUCACCCCUCAGGGUGUUCUGUUCAGCCGUUCACCCCUCGGGGUGUUCUGUUCACCCCUCGGGGUGUUCUG